UACGUAGGGGGCAAGCGUUGUCCGGAUUUAUUGGGCGUAAAGCGCACGUAGGCGGUUCGUUAAGUCGGAUGUGAAAGCCCUCGGCUCAACUGAGGAAGUGCACCCGAAACUGGCGAGCUUGAGUACGAAAGAGGAUCGCGGAAUUCCCGGUGUAGAGGUGAAAUUCGUAGAUAUCGGGAGGAACACCGGUGGCGAAGGCGGCGAUCUGGGUCGAUACUGACGCUGAGGUGCGAAAGCAUGGGGGAGCGAACAGG
This 254-nucleotide ribosomal RNA is filed under the name uncultured bacterium. RNAcentral's name for it is "partial 16S ribosomal RNA". It matches the Rfam family "Bacterial small subunit ribosomal RNA", at positions 524 to 776 of the family's 1533-position model. The record is from RNAcentral.